GGGUUGUGAGGUUAAGCGACUAAGCGUACACGGUGGAUGCCCUGGCAGUCAGAGGCGAUGAAGGGCGUGCUAAUCUGCGAUAAGCGCCGGUAAGGUGAUAUGAACCGUUAUAACCGGCGAUACCCGAAUGGGGAAACCCAGUGUGAUUCGUCACACUAUCAUUAACUGAAUCCAUAGGUUAAUGAGGCGAACCGGGGGAACUGAAACAUCUAAGUACCCCGAGGAAAAGAAAUCAACCGAGAUUCCCCCAGUAGCGGCGAGCGAACGGGGAGGAGCCCAGAGCCUGAAUCAGCAUGUGUGUUAGUGGAAGCGUCUGGAAAGGCGCGCGAUACAGGGUGACAGCCCC
Molecule: ribosomal RNA, 346 nt
Filed under: Salmonella enterica
Lineage: Bacteria; Pseudomonadati; Pseudomonadota; Gammaproteobacteria; Enterobacterales; Enterobacteriaceae
Description: partial 23S ribosomal RNA
Rfam family: Bacterial large subunit ribosomal RNA
Source: RNAcentral